GUGCUAGAAAAUAGUCAUUGUGAACAAAAUUAAUUAAGUCGACAACGAAAUACAUAGAAAUAAAGUCAAAACAAAAAAAAAAAAAUGAAAAAAAUACAUAUUAGCUUCAUCUAACUGGUUGUAAUGCUCAAUAUCUUCCAUGUGGAAACCAUCUAACUAUGGAGAAGCUUUCAACCAAUUUUGUGUGCAUACCAAGACAUCCACCAUUUUAGGACUUAAUGAACUACGAAAAGGAUCAAGGAUCCUUCCUCCGGUGCUAAAAGCACUUUCUGAAGCAACAGUUGAAACUUGAAUUGCCAACACAUCCUUAGCAAGAUUAGACAUGACACUGUACUUACUUUUGUUAACCUUCCACCAAUUGAGAACCUCAAUGUCCUUGCUCUCUAUGGUUUCACGAGUAUCAAGCAAGUAUAUUUCCACAUCAUUUUUUAUUUCAGCACAAUCUUUUACAGCUUGUUUUUUCAAAAAUCUAGAAAGACUAGUAUCACUCAUAGAAGAAGCACUGUCUUUAUUUGUACUUAAAAAACUCAAAGACUCAUCAGUUGAUACUUGAAUACUUCCACGAACACUUUCACAAGCCACAUACCACUCAUAAAUAUCCAUUAAAUUGUCUUUCAAAGAUUUCAUCAUGUCACUAACAACUUCCCUAUCCAUGUAUAGAUCACUAAAACAGUAUAAC
RNAcentral lists this long non-coding RNA (679 nucleotides) under Olea europaea subsp. europaea. The record is from RNAcentral. Lineage: Eukaryota; Viridiplantae; Streptophyta; Magnoliopsida; Lamiales; Oleaceae.